This 253-nucleotide ribosomal RNA is filed under the name uncultured bacterium. RNAcentral describes it as "partial 16S ribosomal RNA". It matches the Rfam family "Bacterial small subunit ribosomal RNA", at positions 524 to 776 of the family's 1533-position model. The record is from RNAcentral.
UACAGAGGGUGCAAGCGUUAAUCGGAAUUACUGGGCGUAAAGCGUGCGUAGACGGUUACAUAAGUCGGGUGUGAAAGCCCCGGGCUCAACCUGGGAAUUGCAUUCGAGACUGCGUAGCUAGGGUGCGGAAGAGGGAAGCGGAAUUUCCGGUGUAGCGGUGAAAUGCGUAGAUAUCGGAAGGAACGCCAGUGGCGAAAGCGGCUUCCUGGUCCAGCACCGACGUUCAGGCACGAAAGCGUGGGGAGCAAACAGG